Long non-coding RNA from Elaeis guineensis (African oil palm), 1179 nucleotides. RefSeq lists it as uncharacterized. Lineage: Eukaryota; Viridiplantae; Streptophyta; Magnoliopsida; Arecales; Arecaceae. The record is from RefSeq and is a predicted model, not a curated record.
UUUAUGUUUAUAUAUUGUGGGUUAGGAUUUGGGUCGGAUGCAGCGACCAGUUUAAUUCGUCGCAGUACACCUAUGAUAUUUCCACAGAACGCCCUCUGCGGUCUUGGUGUUUAGUAUGUACGUUUUAAGACUUUGAAUUCAAAAAAACCCUUCUCAUAUUGUGUCUUUUUUUACCCGCAACAAUUAUGACAUCAAUUCUAGUAGGCGCUUUUUGGAUGCAGAAAGGAUUGUGAACAACAUCAUAACAUGGUAUUCGAACAUAGAGUAUCGAAAGCAUGGUGAAUCAUUUUUUGGGGAAAGGGAUCUCCCCAGCGGCCAUCAGGGAAAUAUAAGGGUGCAAGUGUGGAUGCAGUAUAUCCUCAAAAGUAGAUUAAAGUGAAUUCAAGUGUUGUUUUGUCAAGUGAUCUUGGGAGAAUACAGAGGAAGCUGCGCUAAGGUCUACACAAUCUCAUACCUGUUUGAUAUGUAUGAUCUUUGGGCUGGACGGCAAGCUAUCUGCAAAGAAUUACACUAUCUGGAUUGAAUAUGAGCCUAUGUCUUGCCUAUGAAUUCACUAAGCAUCAGGAUGAUUUUUGGUUCAGAAGUGCAUUAUCAGUUGUUAUCAAAGUUUCAAGUUUGGGGAUAACGAAAAUUUAGAAAUCCAAGCAUCUCAACAACUUGAAUUUUGAAUGUCUGGGCCAUAGAAAUGAAAAUAUGGCUCAGAAGAGUAUAUAAUGAUUGCCUCUGAUGAGUUGUUUCUAGUUCGGGGCAUUGUUUGGUUUGAAGCUUAGUCUGUCAAGUAUCAUGGCAAAGAUGGACUUACAGGUGUCCUCCACUUGAGAAAUUUUCUGUUUGGCACUAAAAGAGAAGAUUGCCUGGGCCCAAACUUCUCAAAGUCUGAAGAGGUACAACAUAGGUUUUCAAGCAAAGACAUGACUUCUCCUCAUGGCAAAAUAUGACCACAUUGAAGAAGAGAUCGAUGCCAUAAGAGCUGGACAAGUUAUUAUGCUGCCAACUAAAAUCCUUUAUGGAUUUGGUUGCAUGGUAAGUGAUUGAGGUUUCCUCUCAAAUGCUGCAGAUGGUUUGUUUUUUCUCCCUUUGUCUCUGAUGUGCUUGUUGUUUGUUAUUCUUGUGAGGUAUUCCAGUUCACUUGCACUCAAAAACUUCUUUUAGACGAAAUUCAAAUUAGUACCUUCUUUU